This 468-nucleotide ribosomal RNA is filed under the name uncultured bacterium. RNAcentral's name for it is "partial 16S ribosomal RNA". It matches the Rfam family "Bacterial small subunit ribosomal RNA", at positions 28 to 507 of the family's 1533-position model. The record is from RNAcentral.
GACGAACGCUGGCGGCGUGCUUAACACAUGCAAGUCGAACGGAAAGGCCCUGCUUUUGUGGGGUGCUCGAGUGGCGAACGGGUGAGUAACACGUGAGUAACCUGCCCUUGACUUUGGGAUAACUUCAGGAAACUGGGGCUAAUACCGGAUAGGUGCUCCUGCUGCAUGGUGGGGGUUGGAAAGUUUCGGCGGUUGGGGAUGGACUCGCGGCUUAUCAGCUUGUUGGUGGGGUAGUGGCUUACCAAGGCUUUGACGGGUAGCCGGCCUGAGAGGGUGACCGGCCACAUUGGGACUGAGAUACGGCCCAGACUCCUACGGGAGGCAGAAGUGGGGAAUAUUGCACAAUGGGCGGAAGCCUGAUGCAGCAACGCCGCGUGCGGGAUGACGGCCUUCGGGUUGUAAACCGCUUUCGCCUGUGACGAAGCGUGAGUGACGGUAAUGGGUAAAGAAGCACCGGCUAACUACGUG